Molecule: transfer RNA, 76 nt
Filed under: Pseudomonadales bacterium
Lineage: Bacteria; Pseudomonadati; Pseudomonadota; Gammaproteobacteria; Pseudomonadales
Also listed under: 7 other names
Description: tRNA-Phe
Rfam family: tRNA
About the family: Transfer RNA (tRNA) molecules are approximately 80 nucleotides in length. Their secondary structure includes four short double-helical elements and three loops (D, anti-codon, and T loops). Further hydrogen bonds mediate the characteristic L-shaped molecular structure. tRNAs have two regions of fundamental functional importance: the anti-codon, which is responsible for specific mRNA codon recognition, and the 3' end, to which the tRNAs corresponding amino acid is attached (by aminoacyl-tRNA synthetases). tRNAs cope with the degeneracy of the genetic code in two manners: having more than one tRNA (with a specific anti-codon) for a particular amino acid; and 'wobble' base-pairing, i.e. permitting non-standard base-pairing at the 3rd anti-codon position.
Source: RNAcentral
GCCCAGGUAGCUCAGUCGGUAGAGCAGUGGACUGAAAAUCCUCGUGUCGGUGGUUCGAUUCCGCCCCUGGGCACCA